RNAcentral lists this unclassified non-coding RNA (379 nucleotides) under uncultured Gammaproteobacteria bacterium. RNAcentral's name for it is "contains 16S-23S intergenic spacer region". Lineage: Bacteria; Pseudomonadati; Pseudomonadota; Gammaproteobacteria. The record is from RNAcentral.
UCCGGCUUAUCACCGGCAGUCCCUCUAGAGUGCCCAACUGAAUGAUGGCAACUAAAGGCGAGGGUUGCGCUCGUUGCGGGACUUAACCCAACAUCUCACGACACGAGCUGACGACAGCCAUGCAGCACCUGUGUUACGGUUCCCUUUCGGGCACACCUCCAUCUCUGGAGGCUUCCGUACAUGUCAAGGGUAGGUAAGGUUUUUCGCGUUGCAUCGAAUUAAUCCACAUAAUCCACCGCUUGUGCGGGUCCCCGUCAAUUCCUUUGAGUUUUAACCUUGCGGCCGUACUCCCCAGGCGGAGAACUUAACGCGUUAGCUUCGCUACACAACAGGUCUCCCCAUCGCACAGCCAGUUCUCAUCGUUUACAGCGUGGACUAC